ACUAAAAUAUGCACUUGUCUAGUAAAUAUAAAAUGCAUAUCACAAUUAGCUUGUAAAUUAUGUCUUCGCCUGUAAAACAAGCCACAUUAUAUUACAUAUCAAACUUUGAAUAUCUUUUGAUCAUAUACCAACUCCAAUCUUUUGUGUCCUCUACAGCAACUAUCUGAGGGAGGCAAAAAGAUUGACCCUUAAAUUAGGUAGAUCUGAUAAAAUUUUUCUUAUUUUUCAUCCAAAUUAUAACUUCCGAAAUUAAAUUGAAUUAUUUUAGCAGCCAUAAUCGCUCAAACAAGGAACAACAAAAAUGAAUGGGUAUUAUUGUUCCUCGAAACAACCAGCGCCCUUUCGCCCCCUUCAGCUUNAUUAUUGUUCCUCGAAACAACCACCGCACUUUCGCCCCCUUCAGCUUUCCUCUUCGCUUUCUUCGCCUGUCGAUACGAUUUGAAGCUUUAAUUUAAUUUACCCUCAGUUCCAAUCAUAGCUUCAAGCCGGGAGCUCUCUUUUUCAAAGAAUUCCAUCUCUUUAAGUAGCUUGGCCAGCUUUUCAGCGUUCUCCUCCUGAAUAUGAGAUGGUACUUUUUCUUUAUAGCCAGCUGCAUUAACCAUCUUAUCCAACUUAUCCCAUUGCUUUUGUGCAUCAUCCAUUUUAUUUCUGAUCUUUUCAAGCUCUCCUCCUGCAUCAACUUUUCCUUGAACCUUGAGAUAGACAACAAGAUUCUCAUUGACAUUCUCAAAUGCACAUUCAGCUGGAGGAGCAUCUUUCCCACUCAAUAAUACCUUGAUGGAUGACAAAGUUGCAAGAGUUAAAAUCUCCAAUUCAUGGCUAGCAAUAAUUUCUGCUACUGCAUCACUUUGGCAAAAUGCAAAAGCUGGUAGUCUUUCAUUUCUUGGGUUACCAAGCACCUCAGC
This 905-nucleotide unclassified non-coding RNA is filed under the name Hevea brasiliensis (rubber tree). The record is from RNAcentral. Lineage: Eukaryota; Viridiplantae; Streptophyta; Magnoliopsida; Malpighiales; Euphorbiaceae.